Non-coding RNA from Malus domestica (apple), 4182 nucleotides. The record is from RefSeq and is a predicted model, not a curated record. NCBI's taxonomy places the organism in Eukaryota, Viridiplantae, Streptophyta, Magnoliopsida, Rosales, Rosaceae.
CUGCCGAUCAGGUAAUCGCUCUUAUAUUUCUCGAUUGAGAUUGUUCUUGACGUCGCCGUUUUGUAGUUGUAAGGAGUAAUGUCUUUUGCACGUAACUAUCGCUCACAAGGGGGCACCACUGGUGAAGAGUAUUGGCCCACCCUUGGUAGAAAUGACUUCAAAAACUUCCACAACUUCAACCACAGGAACAACAACAACUGGAACAGGAGCCGGACCAGUAGCUUUGCUAAGAAUUAUAACAAUUUCCCCAAUUUCCAGAAUUACGUGGGUGGUUAUAAGGAGCAUGCUGAUAAUUCUAAUUAUUUCAAGCCUGACAGUGCACCAUCGUUUAAGAGGAGAAAAUUUUCAGAUUCUACUUGGGGUGAUGGUGGGAGACAUUAUCUGCCACCCAACACAUAUGAGUUUGUCUCGUCUACCUGCAAUAAUUAUCUUCCUUAUGCAAGAUCACCCAACACAUAUGAGUUUGUCUCGUCUACCUGCAAUAAUUAUCUUCCUUAUGCAAGAUCCAAUGGUGAUGCCUCUGCAUCUACUACUGGUAAACGUGACCGCUCAAAAUUAGAUGAGGAUGAACUGCCCUUUAUGUCAAGGGAUGAGAUAGAGAGAUGCUCCCCGUCUAGAAAAGAUGGUAUAGAUUCAGUACGUGAAGCACACUUGCGCUACUCAUAUUGUUCUUACCUUCAGAAUCUUGGAUUGCGGCUUGACUUGCCCCAGACUACUAUCGCUACAGCAAUGGUUCUCUGCCAUCGGUUUUUUUCCCGGCGAUCACACGCUUGCCAUGAUAGAUUUUUGAUUGCUACUGCCGCUCUUUUCCUAGCUGCAAAGUCCGAGGAGACACCACGCCCUUUGAAUACUGUGUUGAGAAUGUCUUCUGAGAUUUCCCAUAAGCAGGAUAUCAGUUUCUUGUCCUAUAUGCUCCCCAUUGACUGGUUUGAGCAGUAUCGGGAACGGGUGACUGAGGCUGAGCAAAUGAUACUGACCACUCUAAAUUUUGAACUUGGUGUGCAGCAUCCAUAUGCACCGCUUACGUCUAUUCUUAACAAAUUAGGUCUCUCACAAACUGUUCUGGUGAAUCUGUCCUUAAGCUUGGUCAGUGAAGGGAUCUACACAAGAUUAGAGUUGAUCGCCUGUAUGAUAUUCUUAGCUGGCGGAUUGAUUUGCUGUUCAUGGAACUUUUGUUUUACUUCUGAAGUUGAACUGCCGAUAUUUUGUGGAUGAAUUUACCAUAAUAUUCCUCCAUCAUCUUGGUCAUUGGCUAUUGAAUAUAGCCAAUUAGCCUCCAUAGCCAUUUUCACAUCUUCAACUUACUGGUGGAAUUUAUUAAGAAAGAGUCCUGUCUUGCUUGCAAAAAUACAGUUUGUAAGACAGGCUUUUUGUGUGCUUGGUUUUGGAGGAAAACCAUUGACUAGGCUAGGAUUUUCAUAUUGUGAUUGGUAGUCCUUCCCGUCCCCAUAUGAAUCCUCCAAUGACUUUUUCUAGUUCCUGAUAACGAGGGGUUGACCUGAUAUCUAGGGGUUGCUUUAGGUUUAAAAGUAUGAUAUAUCAGUUUUGAGUAUCAGGGCUUGCAGUCUGAUUUCAGUUUCUACCAAACUCUUUCUGAUGGAAGUUUAGACCCUGGCCCAAAAAGUUGCAAAUUGUCAUAGAACUGUGGUCACUGAUGCAUGAGUCUCAGGAACUUGUGUAGGUAUUUGCCUGACGUAGAUGUCUUGAAAGUUUUCGAUGUUGUAUCCGUUUUUCCAUUACAGAAUGGAAUGGGCGACAUUAGCAUUUUGUAUAGUACCUGCCAUUCAUCUACCCCGUCUCCCUAAAGAAUAAAAGGAGAGAUUUAAUGCAACACGUGUGAAAUGAAAAUGAGGGAAAUUAGCACUGACAGUUUUCCUCAUUAAUUGGCAUUGAGAUGCAACUUAUUUUCCAAGAUUGGGAAUAGGAGCUCAGGAAAUAUAACAAAAUUUUGAAAGUCAUUUGAAUGCCAUAUCAUUUUACAUGAUUUUCGUAUCAUAAUCUUUUUGGUUUAACAUAUAUUUCUCAGGUAAUGAUUUGUCUGGAUCUGGAACCUGCCCAGAUAUUUAUCUGGGUCAAAACCUUGACUCAGAACUAUUUGCUUCCAUAUACUUGGUAUCAGAUAAUGUCAAUUUUCUAGUCCCAACUCCCGUGUAAUUGUUUUUACAGUUUUUAAUAAAUUUGAGGCCACUUCACAGUUAGUGUGCGCUAUUUUUGCUUUAAAAAUGUAUUUUAUCUUCUUUGAGUUUUCUCAAUUUUAAACUUUGUUUGAACGUUUGUUCAAGCGAUGGAUUUUGUUAGUUAUUUGUUCUGGAAAAAAAAGGAAAAAAAGGUUUUCUUGAAUAUUCUUUGUCAAAAUUUGUUAUUUUUGUGAAAUAUGUUUUAUAUAUUGUAACCGUAUCUUCAUUUAUUUGUAAAGAUCAGUUUGAUCUUAAUGCCACUAUUGUUGUUAUUUGUGAUGAAUAAUUUAUUAUUUUUAUUACUGGCACUAUGGACUCCUGGUCCUUCUGUUAGACGACUUUGUUUUACACAGAAGUACACAGCGGAAUAUUGCCUCACCAGCUAAUUGAAAAAAAAUCAUAUAUUAGUGAAGAAGAUAUUGGCAUAGACUUUUUAUAUCUCUCUUGGUUACAUCCAGGGAUGUUUUUGGUGUGGGGGAAAGGCUACCCAAAUCAUGGUACAAGUGUUGUAAGAUUAUGUUGCUAACUACAACCCGGAAAUCUUUUGAAAAGAGUAGAGGAGUCCUAAUAACUUAAGAUACAUGUACUUAUGUUUUGAACGUGCUUUUCUGUUCUCCGUCUCAUUAUUUAUUUAUUCUGAAACCUUAAUGUUGAUAUAACUUCCUGCUAGGUGAUUAAAAAGGUAAAAUCACAGUGAGACUAGACUCUGGAGGAAACAUCUUUUUCUCUAUAAAGUACCCCAGAAGAAUUGAUGGCAUCCAUCCCUGUAGUUGCUUGAAAAUUCCUACCAUUGUUAGAAUCCCGAGUUGUUGUAGGGGGCAUUCACCAUUUUUUGUAUUCCAAGGUCUCACCAAAGUUUUGCUUCAGUAGUUGAUGAUAUGAGAAAAGUAUACGUUAUAACUCAGAUGUACAUAUGUAUACUAUCUGGAACAGACUAUAGAUGGCAAUUCAGCUUCAUAUCAUGCCUGCAACAUGGGUGUGGUCGAUGAUUCUCGUCGGGAACUUAGUAGUUGGGUUAUUGUGCAUGCUCAAUGAGCAUCAAUGCAUGUGUUGGCAAGUCUGUCCAGAUCCAGCCAUUGAUCAGAAGAUUGUGGAUUUGCUUUCAGAAGUUUAAUUGUUUGCAAUGUCCUGCUUUUGCUUUCUAAUAUGAAUCAUGUAUUCGAGUAAAAUAGCCGUGCAGCAGAUUGGGGCCUGGGAAUUUUGGUGUCUCUAGAUGGGGUGUAUCAUAUUUGCUAUAGUUUUGGUACUCUUAUCAGCCAUCCUGCAGAGAUUGUGGAAAAUAUUCUACCUGACUUGCUGCUUUUGUAGUUGGUAAGAAAUUGACUUGUUAUUUCAUGCCUGAUUUGAUGUUUUGCUACCAAUUUUUUAUGCUAUAUGUUGCUGACGUACGUUCUAUCAAUGUGAUGAAAAAUAUGCUACAUUGCACUGAGAAUUGCCUGGUCUUUCUACUGUUGCCCCAGAUGGUUUGGUUUGAUGAUGUGCCUUUCUGCCUCUCCUAUCCCAUGGUGGUGGCUCGGUCUCAUACUUUCAGGAACUGAUUUUGUUUUUUCAUUUUAUUUUUCAGGCUUCGGAGUUCUCUGUGGCUCCAGUUCAAACCGCAUCAUAUUGCGGCAGGAGCUGCCUACCUUGCCGCAAAGUUUCUAAAUUUGGAUCUUGAUUCUUAUAAAAAUAUAUGGCAGGAAUUCCAAGCUACACCAGAUAUUCUUCAAGCCGUUGCUCAGCAGUUGAUGGAACUCUUCUAGAUGGAUGGAGCAUGUUGCUACGCUAGUUUCUGUGUAUAAAAUUCGGAUCGGGGAAAACAUACACGACUUUUACAGAGGUAUGGUGUGAGGAGACGAGGAGAAGCGCCAAGAUAUGAUACUUAUCGUGUCUCGCGACUGCUAUCCUCUUGAACCUCUUGAAGGCUUUAAUAUUAGUUUUGAAUGUUUUGUAACUUAACUAGGAGUACGCAUUUCGGAGUGGUAACGUACAUAUUAAUGACAAAAUGGCUACAACGUUUUUCUUA